GACGAACGCUGGCGGCGUGCUUAACACAUGCAAGUCGAACGCGCCUGUCCUCUGGGUUUCUGGGGGGUGGGUGAGUGGCGAACGGGUGAGUAACACGUGAGUAACCUGCCCCCUUCUUCGGGAUAACGGUCUGAAAGGGCUGCUAAUACCGGGUAUUCACUGGUCUCCGCAUGGGGUCUGGUGGAAAGGUUUUUUUCUGGUUGGGGAUGGGCUCGCGGCCUAUCAGCUUGUUGGUGGGGUGAUGGCCCACCAAGGCUUUGACGGGUAGCCGGCCUGAGAGGGUGACCGGUCACAUUGGGACUGAGAUACGGCCCAGACUCCUACGGGAGGCAGCAGUGGGGAAUAAUGCACAAUGGGCGCAAGCCUGAUGCAGCGACGCCGCGUGAGGGAUGGAGGCCUUCGGGUUGUGAACCUCUUUCGCCCGUGGUCAAGCCGCGACGUGGGUCGUGGUGAGGGUAGUGGGUAAAGAAGCGCCGGCUAACUACGUG
This 488-nucleotide ribosomal RNA is filed under the name uncultured bacterium. RNAcentral describes it as "partial 16S ribosomal RNA". It matches the Rfam family "Bacterial small subunit ribosomal RNA", at positions 28 to 507 of the family's 1533-position model. The record is from RNAcentral.